RNAcentral lists this ribosomal RNA (495 nucleotides) under uncultured soil bacterium. Its description in RNAcentral is "bacterial SSU rRNA". It matches the Rfam family "Bacterial small subunit ribosomal RNA", at positions 26 to 517 of the family's 1533-position model. The record is from RNAcentral.
AGAUUGAACGCUGGCGGAAUGCUUUACACAUGCAAGUCGAGCGGCAGCGCGGGGCAACCUGGCGGCGAGCGGCGAACGGGUGAGUAAUGCAUCGGAACAUGUCCAUGUCGUGGGGGGAUAGCCCGGCGAAAGCCGGAUUAAUACCGCAUACGCCCGAGAGGGGAAAGCCGGGGACCGCAAGGCCUGGCGCGAUUGGGUGGCCGAUGUCCGAUUAGCUAGUUGGCGGGGUAAUGGCCACCGAGGCGAUGAUCGGUAGCUGGUCUGAGAGGAUGAUCAGCCACACUGGGACUGCGACACGGCCCAGACUCCUACGGGAGGCAGCAGUGGGGAAUUUUGGACAAGUGGGGGCAACCUGAUCCAGCCAUUCCGCGUGAGUGAAGAAGGCCUUCGGUUGUAAAGCUCUUUGUCCGGAACGAAACGGUAGCGUGAAUAUCGCUGCCUACGUCGACGGUACCGGAAGAAUAAGACGACCGCUAACUACGUGACCAGCAGCCG